UACGGAGGGUGCAAGCGUUGUCCGGAUUUAUUGGGUUUAAAGGGUGCGUAGGCGGCCCGUUAAGUCAGUGGUGAAAGCCUCCAGCUCAACUGGAGAACUGCCAUUGAUACUGACGGGCUUGAGUACAGACGAGGUUGGCGGAAUUGAUUGUGUAGCGGUGAGAUGCAUAGAUACAAUCAAGAACUCCGAUUGCGUAGGCAGCUAACUAGGCUGUAACUGACGCUGAGGCACGAAAGCGUGGGGAGCGAACAGG
RNAcentral lists this ribosomal RNA (253 nucleotides) under uncultured bacterium. RNAcentral describes it as "partial 16S ribosomal RNA". It matches the Rfam family "Bacterial small subunit ribosomal RNA", at positions 524 to 776 of the family's 1533-position model. The record is from RNAcentral.